RNAcentral lists this ribosomal RNA (443 nucleotides) under uncultured bacterium. RNAcentral's name for it is "partial 16S ribosomal RNA". It matches the Rfam family "Bacterial small subunit ribosomal RNA", at positions 338 to 795 of the family's 1533-position model. The record is from RNAcentral.
CCUACGGGAGGCAGCAGUGGGGAAUAUUGCACAAUGGGGGAAACCCUGAUGCAGCAACGCCGCGUGAAGGAAGACGGUUUUCGGAUUGUAAACUUCUAUCAAUAGGGAAGAGCAGAAGACGGUACCUCUUGAAUAAGCCACGGCUAACUACGUGCCAGCAGCCGCGGUAAUACGUAGGUGACAAGCGUUGUCCGGAUUUACUGGGUGUAAAGGGCGUGUAGCCGGGCUGACAAGUCAGAUGUGAAAUCCCGUGGCUCAACCACGGAACUGCAUUUGAAACUGUCGGUCUUGAGUAUCGGAGAGGCAGGCGGAAUUCCUAGUGUAGCGGUGAAAUGCGUAGAUAUUAGGAGGAACACCAGUGGCGAAGGCGGCCUGCUGGACGACAACUGACGUUGAGGCACGAAAGCGUGGGGAGCAAACAGGAUUAGAUACCCCGAGUAGUC